Molecule: long non-coding RNA, 268 nt
Organism: Limanda limanda (common dab)
Lineage: Eukaryota; Metazoa; Chordata; Actinopteri; Pleuronectiformes; Pleuronectidae
Exons: 2
Source: RefSeq, a predicted model, not a curated record
CAAUGGCCGCAAAAAGACCUUUCUUCAUUUCCCCUGUGUGGCAACACAAAGCUGACAUUUUAAAGAUUAACACAUUUUUGGAAAAACUCAAUUUUACGGUGCCAGUUUCCUCAGAACACCUGAUUCACACCUCUGUCAAAAGUUUCAUUGGGAGGGCGAACUUUGACGUGGCGAUCUGAAGCACUUCUGUGAAUUGAAUCUUAACACCUGUCUUUACAACAUGACUUUGUUUUCUACUUUUUGAUUAAAAACAGUAUAUCUACACUCA